RNAcentral lists this ribosomal RNA (254 nucleotides) under uncultured bacterium. RNAcentral describes it as "partial 16S ribosomal RNA". It matches the Rfam family "Bacterial small subunit ribosomal RNA", at positions 524 to 776 of the family's 1533-position model. The record is from RNAcentral.
UACGUAGGGUCCGAGCGUUGUCCGGAAUUAUUGGGCGUAAAGAGCUCGUAGGCGGUCUGUUGCGUCGGCUGUGAAAACCCGGGGCUCAACUCCGGGCCUGCAGUCGAUACGGGCAGACUAGAGUUCGGUAGGGGAGACUGGAAUUCCUGGUGUAGCGGUGAAAUGCGCAGAUAUCAGGAGGAACACCGGUGGCGAAGGCGGCAUCCUGGACCAACACUGACGCUGAGUGAGCGAAAGCGUGGGGAGCGAACAGG